GAUGAACGCUGGCGGCGUGCCUAAUACAUGCAAGUAGAACGCUGAAGGAGGAGCUUGCUCUUCUGGAUGAGUUGCGAACGGGUGAGUAACGCGUAGGUAACCUGCCUGGUAGCGGGGGAUAACUAUUGGAAACGAUAGCUAAUACCGCAUGACAACAGUUAUUGCAUGAUAACUGUUUAAAAGGGGCAACUGCUCCACUACCAGAUGGACCUGCGUUGUAUUAGCUAGUUGGUGAGGUAACGGCUCACCAAGGCGACGAUACAUAGCCGACCUGAGAGGGUGAUCGGCCACACUGGGACUGAGACACGGCCCAGACUCCUACGGGAGGCAGCAGUAGGGAAUCUUCAGCAAUGGACGGAAGUCUGAACGAGCAACGCCGCGUGAGUGAAGAAGGUUUUCGGAUCGUAAAGCUCUGUUGUAAGAGAAGAACGAGUGUGAGAGUGGAAAGUUCACACUGUGACGGUAGCUUACCAGAAAGGGACGGCUAACUACGUG
RNAcentral lists this ribosomal RNA (495 nucleotides) under uncultured bacterium. RNAcentral's name for it is "partial 16S ribosomal RNA". It matches the Rfam family "Bacterial small subunit ribosomal RNA", at positions 28 to 507 of the family's 1533-position model. The record is from RNAcentral.